UCGACCUGGAACCUCUGUGAAGCGUGAAAAUAUUCCAUUAAUGUCAUUGUUAAUUUUACAUUCUGUUAGAUGCAAUGUUGCAUUUACACUUUAAUACUUGGUGGUUGUUACUAUGGCUAUUACUAAAUUUUUUUACUUGUGUACUUCUUCAAAAUGAAAACAGUCUUGACUCCCAACCUGAAUUUCUCUCCUAGAAAUUGGCAGAGGAAAUGCUUCAAUAAAUUCAGAACCCUGCUUUUUCCCCCCAGUUUUUUGAAACAGAAAAUUUAUCCAGGUCAGGCUUUUCCCACUAGCGGGAUUUGAAUCCCCAUUUUCAAAGCAUAAUAAACCCAUGGGAUCACAAAAUACCUGUUUAGUUGCAAUGAUAAAUACAAGCUUUCAUUUUAGAGCAUAAAUCAGUGCACAUAUGAAAUAAUAUGUUGCUCUCCCUAGAUAUCUCAGGCCCCUUGGCUGGGGUCCUUCAUCAAGGGGAAAGCUGAAAAAUUUGCUUCCAGUUGCCCUUCUCUGGAGCAGAGUAGCAGCCUGCAGCACUUGCAGAGGGGUAUUGACACGCACCCAUUUGAAACGGCUUUGGCUGCAUUCCCAGAACAUCAUGUGUAUAUUUUUAAAAAUUUCAUAGAAGUAGUAAACAAUGAAAAGCUACAAAAUGGACACACGUCCCUGCUUUCUACCAGCGUUUCCUCUAGGGCUUGCUGCAGUGCGGAGCCUUCAAACCGCUCCUGCCAAGGGAAAUGGUGCCAGCCUUUCAUCCAUGACUUUCAGAAAUAUGGAUUUGGAAGUCAAAGUAGCUGAGAGAAGUCACUUCCAUUGCAGACAAGGAUUCUCCAAGGUAUAAACACUGCGUGGUCUCCAAUGUGCCCAGACCUGGAGAUCUGCAAUUGAAGGCUCUCCCAGCAGAGAGAGGCGGCGCAGCCCCGAGGAGUGUGCGGGAGAGACUUGCGGGGGAAGCUGGCGACUGCUCAGAGGUGAGGAGGUGAAAACAAUUGCAUUGCUUUGCCUGAUUCUGUUUUUCCUUUAAAUCUGAAAG
Molecule: long non-coding RNA, 1027 nt
Filed under: Struthio camelus australis
Lineage: Eukaryota; Metazoa; Chordata; Aves; Struthioniformes; Struthionidae
Description: lncRNA (ENSSCUG00000003933.1)
Source: RNAcentral